This 492-nucleotide ribosomal RNA is filed under the name uncultured bacterium. Its description in RNAcentral is "partial 16S ribosomal RNA". It matches the Rfam family "Bacterial small subunit ribosomal RNA", at positions 29 to 507 of the family's 1533-position model. The record is from RNAcentral.
AGUGAACGCUGGCGGUAGGCCUAACACAUGCAAGUCGAACGGCAGCACAGUAUGCGCUUGCUCUUUCGGGCGGCGAGUGGCGGACGGGUGAGGAAUACAUCGUCAUCUACUUAUUCGGGGGGGACAACUUAGGGCAACUUACGCUAAUACCUCAUACCACUAACGGGUGAAAGCAAGGUGUCUUCGGACCAUGGCCGCACUAAUGAGCCGAUGUCCGAUUUGUUAGCUGGCGGGUGAAAGGCCCACCAAGCGAACGAACCGUGGCUGGUCUGGCAGGAGGAUCAGCCACACGGGAACUGGAACACGGUCCAGACUCCUACGGGAGGCAGCAGAGGGGAAUAUUGGACAAUGGGCGCAAUCCUGAUCCAGCCAGACCGCGUGGGUGAAGAAGGCCUUCGGGUUGUAAAGCCCUUUUGUUGGGAAAGAAAAGCAGCAGGUUAAUACCCCGCUGUUCUGACGGUACCCAAAGAAUAAGCACCGGCUAACUUCGUG